This is a long non-coding RNA of Aedes albopictus (Asian tiger mosquito), 954 nucleotides long. RefSeq lists it as uncharacterized. The transcript is spliced from 3 exons. NCBI's taxonomy places the organism in Eukaryota, Metazoa, Arthropoda, Insecta, Diptera, Culicidae. The record is from RefSeq and is a predicted model, not a curated record.
UUGGGCUUGAGAGUGCAGAGGGUCAAGUACGAAGGAGGCUAUCUAUCUGCACAUGGAUAAGGAGGAGGAUGACAUCGACCGUAUCUCCAUAAUAUGGUUUUGUAAACCCUAACCAUAAUCGAUCCUCUCUUAACCUGAAAUCUCACGAUCUCUUCUCUAUCCAUUGCUCAUUACCGCCACCCAUGUAUGAUAUGAAUAUACGACCACAAAAAUCUACCUACGGCUACAUAUUGGCACUGCUCUGAAGUUGAAAUCAGAAGUCGGUUAAUUUCCAAGCAGGCAAGUCUAGCUAGCCAAAGUUUCUUUUAUUCGCCUGACCGGCCAUAAAAUCAAAGCAAAGCAAAGUGCUAAUAGUUGGUGGAUGCGGUUCAUUGUUGUGUGCUUUUAAAUGCCUAUCGGCAUAGAUCCGCUGAGGAAAUCAUGUUAAGGAGCAUGAGCAGUACGAUGGAGUAGUGCGUUAGUGAUUGCUGGAGAUCGGCCUUUCGUUUCGACCCAAAUUCAAUGGCUCCAUGAGUCAUCAUGGUGUGGUUCAGUGCCUUGGUGUACCACCAGGCCUGAAAGUGUUUUCUGCUGCGGAGUUACUGGUAUGGAGCCGGUGUGUCCUUCUGUCCGGACGGAGUCCUGCUUUCCUGUCGCCGUGAGAUACACUAGGACACUGACACCACACAACACUAGGCUUAAGUCCUAACGUAGUUUGUAAGUCAGCAAAAUAGACGUAAGUACAAAAACAUUUAAUAAACCCAUUUACUCAUUUCUUGCAUGUAAAUUUAUGCUUUUAUAUUGGUACGGAAUUGACUCGGAUAGAUUGUUUCAUGAUGGUUCCCCAUUCGAACCUUGGUCUUAGAGGGAAAGGUAAAUGAGUCAAGGUCACUACUUCCUCUUCGUACCAUCUUUGUCUCCGUCUCAUGCGACCUUUCUUUAGGGAGGUGACAACUUCUCUAGGAGCUCCAUCCA